This 278-nucleotide ribosomal RNA is filed under the name uncultured bacterium. Its description in RNAcentral is "partial 16S ribosomal RNA". It matches the Rfam family "Bacterial small subunit ribosomal RNA", at positions 506 to 784 of the family's 1533-position model. The record is from RNAcentral.
UGCCAGCCGCCGCGGUAAUACAGAGGAUGCAAGCGUUAUCCGAAAUGACUGGGCGUAAAGAGUCCGUAGACUGUACUGUAAGUUAUUUGUUAAAUCCUAAAGCCCAACUUUAGAACAGCAUUUAAUACUACUUUACUUGAGUUUUGUCCGGAAGAGUAGAAUUCCACGUUUAGGGAUAAUCCCCGUAGAUAUGUGGAGGAACACCAUUAGCGAAGGCGACUCUUUGGUAAAAACUGACGUUGAGGGACGAAAGUGUAGGGAGCAAACAGGAUUAGAUA